AAUAGAUACCCCGGUAGUCCUAGCCGUAAACGAUGGACACUAGGUGUUGGUGGUAUCAACCCCACCAGUGCCGAAGCUAACGCAUUAAGUGUCCCGCCUGGGGAGUACGGCCGCAAGGCUAAACUCAAAGGAAUUGACGGGGCCCGCACAAGCAGCGGAGCGUGGGGUUUAAUUCGAUGCAACGCGAAGAACCUUACCAGGGCUUGACAUGACCAGGAAUCCGGCGGAAACGUCGGCGUCCCGCAAGGGACCUGGCCACAGGUGUUGCAUGGCUGUCGUCAGCUCGUGUCGUGAGAUGUUGGGUUAAGUCCCGCAACGAGCGCAACCCUAUCGUGUGUUGUAUCACUCACACGAGACUGCCGAGAGAAACUCGGAGGAAGGCGGGGAUGACGUCAAGUCAGCAUGGCCCUUACGUCCUGGGCUACACCCACGCUACAAUGGCCGGUACAACGGGCUGCGAAACCGCGAGGUGGAGCUAAUCCCUUAAAGCCGGUCUCAGUUCGGAUUGUAGGCUGCAACUCGCCUACAUGAAGCCGGAGUUG
Molecule: ribosomal RNA, 542 nt
Filed under: uncultured bacterium
Lineage: Bacteria
Description: bacterial SSU rRNA
Rfam family: Bacterial small subunit ribosomal RNA
Source: RNAcentral